CCGAAGGGUCGCUAGGGUUCCGAGGCCUACCAUGCGGCAGGCCUGUCUGGUCCGAGAGCGACCGGCCUCAAGUGCCCGCGGCAGCUGCCGCGACGGCACUCAGGCUCCACGGCGGGACAAAAGCCCGGGAGGA
Molecule: small RNA, 133 nt
Filed under: Sphaerotilus natans
Lineage: Bacteria; Pseudomonadati; Pseudomonadota; Betaproteobacteria; Burkholderiales; Sphaerotilaceae
Description: Guanidine-I sequence
Rfam family: Guanidine-I riboswitch aptamer
About the family: This family represents a conserved RNA structure found upstream of the ykkC and yxkD genes in Bacillus subtilis and related genes in other bacteria. The function of this family is unclear although it has been suggested that it may function to switch on efflux pumps and detoxification systems in response to harmful environmental molecules. Nelson showed that this riboswitch senses and responds to guanidine and it was renamed Guanidine-I riboswitch.
Source: RNAcentral